GUGAUCGAGCGACGCCGCGUGCGGGAUGAAGGUCUUCGGAUUGUAAACCGCUUUUCCCUGGGAAGAACACUUAGGUCGUGAACUUAAGUUUGACGGUACCAGGGGAAUAAGCCCCGGCUAACUCCGUGCCAGCAGCCGCGGUAAGACGGAGGGGGCAAGCGUUGUUCGGAUUUACUGGGCAUAAAGAGCACGUAGGCGGACCUACAAGUCAGUUGUGAAAUCCCGGGGCUCAACCCCGGAACGGCAUCCGAUACUAUAGGUCUAGAGGAUGAAAGAGGAGAGUGGAACUUCUGGUGGAGCGGUGAAAUGCGUAGAUAUCAGAAGGAACACCGGUGGCGAAAGCGACUCUCUGGUUCAUAUCUGACGCUGAGGUGCGAAAGCUAGGGGAGCAAACGGGAUUAGAUACCCCGGUAGUCCUAGCCGUAAACGAU
Molecule: ribosomal RNA, 431 nt
Filed under: uncultured anaerobic ammonium-oxidizing bacterium
Lineage: Bacteria
Description: bacterial SSU rRNA
Rfam family: Bacterial small subunit ribosomal RNA
Source: RNAcentral